Molecule: ribosomal RNA, 709 nt
Filed under: uncultured bacterium
Lineage: Bacteria
Description: bacterial SSU rRNA
Rfam family: Bacterial small subunit ribosomal RNA
Source: RNAcentral
AAAUCAGCUUGCUGAUUUGCUGACGAGUGGCGGACGGGUGAGUAAUGUCUGGGAAACUGCCUGAUGGAGGGGGAUAACUACUGGAAACGGUAGCUAAUACCGCAUAACGUCGCAAGACCAAAGAGGGGGACCUUCGGGCCUCUUGCCAUCGGAUGUGCCCAGAUGGGAUUAGCUAGUAGGUGGGGUAACGGCUCACCUAGGCGACGAUCCCUAGCUGGUCUGAGAGGAUGACCAGCCACACUGGAACUGAGACACGGUCCAGACUCCUACGGGAGGCAGCAGUGGGGAAUAUUGCACAAUGGGCGCAAGCCUGAUGCAGCCAUGCCGCGUGUAUGAAGAAGGCCUUCGGGUUGUAAAGUACUUUCAGCGGGGAGGAAGGGAGUAAAGUUAAUACCUUUGCUCAUUGACGUUACCCGCAGAAGAAGCACCGGCUAACUCCGUGCCAGCAGCCGCGGUAAUACGGAGGGUGCAAGCGUUAAUCGGAAUUACUGGGCGUAAAGCGCACGCAGGCGGUUUGUUAAGUCAGAUGUGAAAUCCCCGGGCUCAACCUGGGAACUGCAUCUGAUACUGGCAAGCUUGAGUCUCGUAGAGGGGGGUAGAAUUCCAGGUGUAGCGGUGAAAUGCGUAGAGAUCUGGAGGAAUACCGGUGGCGAAGGCGGCCCCCUGGACGAAGACUGACGCUCAGGUGCGAAAGCGUGGGGAGCAAACA